Non-coding RNA from Budorcas taxicolor (takin), 73 nucleotides. The record is from the annotation of a RefSeq genome assembly. NCBI's taxonomy places the organism in Eukaryota, Metazoa, Chordata, Mammalia, Artiodactyla, Bovidae.
UCCCUUGUGGUCCAGUGGCUAAGACUCUGCACUUCCAAUGCAGUGGACCUAGGUUCAACCCCUGGUUGGGGAG